UACGUAGGUGGCAAGCGUUAUCCGGAAUUAUUGGGCGUAAAGCGCUCGCAGGCGGUUUCUUAAGUCUGAUGUGAAAGCCCACGGCUCAACCGUGGAGGGUCAUUGGAAACUGGGAGACUUGAGUGCAGAGGAGGAGAGUGGAAUUCCACGUGUAGCGGUGAAAUGCGUAGAGAUGUGGAGGAACACCAGUGGCGAAGGCGACUCUCUGGUCUGUAACUGACGCUGAGGAGCGAAAGCGUGGGGAGCAAACAGG
RNAcentral lists this ribosomal RNA (253 nucleotides) under uncultured bacterium. RNAcentral's name for it is "partial 16S ribosomal RNA". It matches the Rfam family "Bacterial small subunit ribosomal RNA", at positions 524 to 776 of the family's 1533-position model. The record is from RNAcentral.